GUUUGAUUCUGGCUCAGAACGAACGCUGGCGGCGUGGAUAAGACAUGCAAGUCGAACGCUGAUUAUAGGGUAGCAAUAUUCUGUAGUCGGAGUGGCGAAAGGGUGCGUAACACGUGGGUAAUUUGCCGUGAAGUUGGGGAUAACUCGCUGAAAGGCGAGCUAAUACCGAAUGUGGCCUAACAAGGCUAAAGUUGGGGACCGUAAGGCCUGACGCUUCAUGAUAAGCCCGCGGCCUAUCAGCUAGUUGGUGAGGUAACGGCUCACCAAGGCUAAGACGGGUAGCUGGUCUGAGAGGACGACCAGCCUCACUGGAACUGAGACACGGUCCAGACACCUACGGGUGGCAGCAGUCGAGAAUUUUUCUCAAUGGGGGAAACCCUGAAGGAGCGACGCCGCGUGGGGGAUGAAUGGCUUCGGCCGUAAACCCCUGUCAUUUGCGAAC
Molecule: ribosomal RNA, 442 nt
Filed under: uncultured bacterium
Lineage: Bacteria
Description: bacterial SSU rRNA
Rfam family: Bacterial small subunit ribosomal RNA
Source: RNAcentral